RNAcentral lists this ribosomal RNA (253 nucleotides) under uncultured bacterium. RNAcentral describes it as "partial 16S ribosomal RNA". It matches the Rfam family "Bacterial small subunit ribosomal RNA", at positions 524 to 776 of the family's 1533-position model. The record is from RNAcentral.
UACGGAGGGGGCUAGCGUUGUUCGGAAUUAUUGGGCGUAAAGGGCGCGUAGGCGGCCGGAUAAGUCUGACGUGAAAUCCCACGGCCCAACCGUGGAACUGCGUUUGAAACUGUCUGGCUCGAGUCCGGGAGAGGGUAGUGGAAUUCCCAGUGUAGCGGUGAAAUGCGUAGAUAUUGGGAGGAACACCGGUGGCGAAGGCGGCUACCUGGACCGGUACUGACGCUGAGGCGCGAAAGCUAGGGUAGCAAACAGG